CAAUGAUCCAACGAUCACCUUGGCCUGGUUGAGAUAAACCCUUAAUUCACCCGUUUAAAUGUGGAAAUAUGCUGGAACUACACACGCAAAAGGUCCUU
This is a long non-coding RNA of Etheostoma cragini (Arkansas darter), 98 nucleotides long. RefSeq lists it as uncharacterized. Lineage: Eukaryota; Metazoa; Chordata; Actinopteri; Perciformes; Percidae. The record is from RefSeq and is a predicted model, not a curated record. The transcript is spliced from 3 exons.